Cyprinus carpio carpio is the source of this 2300-nucleotide long non-coding RNA. NCBI's taxonomy places the organism in Eukaryota, Metazoa, Chordata, Actinopteri, Cypriniformes, Cyprinidae. The record is from Ensembl.
AUGCAAAUUGCUGCACUUAAAAAAGGCCGGCGCUGGAGUUUGAUGGGGAGCGUUUCCCGUACAGCCAUCCGAUUAUAUUUCCGGCGUUGUUUUGGAGGAACGUGUGGUGAUUUACAUCAGAUGUCAUGCGUGUGUCAGGAUCAGCAGCCCAUGGAAUGCAUGUUGUUUGAAGACGGUUUGAUGAGGUUCUUCUUACCUGUGCCACUGACUUCAGUCAAGAAGACAAAGAAGUGCUGUAAACUCCUCAACCUUCACUCACACUUUCAUUUAAUGGCUGAAUUCGGGAUCACCGAGUUCCUGCAACUAAACACACACACACCUGAAACUGCAGCACUGUGUUCUGGUUUGCUAAAACUAAUUUUGCUGCACAAAACUCUUCAAGCAGUGACACAAUUCUCAAAAAUAGAAACGCUUUUCAGCUGUAUUCACACACGGUCACACAGAUGUUUUCUUUUUGCGCAGAUGCAGCUUUAACCAUGUUCUUAUUCAGCACAAGCUCUGAGUCCUGAUGAAUAGAGCUUCCAGUCAAGAGUUUGUCACUGCAUAGUUUUGGGAUUGUGUUUAUUGAUUAGAGUUUUUGGUCCAACUUUUUAUUAGGUGUCUCUAACUGCUAUACACUUAGGCCAUAAAAAAAAUUAAUUGUUAGGUACAGUGUACUUAUUGUCUUUAGCUGCUUUAGCUGCUGUUGAGGUGGGAUACAGGUAAGUUUAGGACAGGUUGGGUGGGUUAAGGGGUAGAGGUAGUGAAUUAUUAAAUUUUAAAUAGAUAUGUAACUGCAUCCGGGUAUUUUUUUUAAAUACUACUACAAUGUAAAAAAUAAAAAAAUAAAAAAACAAGUACAUGAAUAUAGUUAAAGACACUUAAUAUAAAGUGGGCCUGAGAUUUUAUGUAUGCAUGUAUGUAUGAAUGAAUGUUUAUAUAUAUAUAUAUAUAUAUAUAUAUAUAUAUUUUUUUUUUUUUUUUUUUUUUUUUUGCUAAAAAGUAAAGUAAGCAAAAUUUUUAUUGCCAGUUUACUUUCGAACCUAGUAUUUUUGUGAGUAUAAUCUAUAUGGAGAGUUCAUCCACUAAAGAAAACUCUAUCGUUAUUUAAUCUCUCUCAUGUUGGUCCAAACCCGUAGGCUGUUAUUUGUUUAAAAGGAUGAUUAUUAAUGAAUAAUGACUUAAACUGUGGUCUGUCCCUCACAGAGCUGGAUUUAUAUGGACUGCUUUAACCCUUGUGUGGUGUUCAUAUUUUUGUUAUUCAGCCAGUGUUUGUGGGUCUGGUCUUUGGGUUUUUAAUUCAACACAAUCAAACAAUUUUAUGUUAAAUACUCAACAGAUGUUUACUUAAUCCCAGUUGCAAGCAAAAUAAACAGAAUAUAUGGUUAAUAUUUGCCCUUUACCUUUGUUAUAUCACAUUUAUGGAUUAAUAACACUAUUAUGGUGUUUCUCCAUUUGUGAUUCAUGUACAGAAUAAGGCUCUGGGAUGAGUUUGAUUUGGUAAUUGGCUGAUUUUUGUUCUGAUGUCCCUGUCAUUGGUCUCUGACUCACAGCAGCAGUUUAGUCCUAGGCUUUUAUCGUGGCAGGUUUGAGAGGAUCACGCUCAGGCCUCAGUCUGCUAAUGCAUGUGUCACGCUGUGUCCAGCGCUCAGUGAUUAGCAUGACAGUCACUGGUCACAGCCUCGCCAUACGAGGCUUCCUCUUUCUGCUCUCACACGUCCAACCUCUUCAGCUUCACCUACCACCGCGCUUUUAAAUCUGAGCUGACAGCGCAUUUGACUAAAAACUGUCAGCCGUUUGUUUGGCUCCUAAUUCAGCGGUCACUUUCAAUUAGUUUUUAUCUCAUCCUAAACAAUGCAGCAUGCAAAGUUCCUCCAGACAGCCUAGCUGACCUCGUGAACCUGCAGCUCUUUGUGUUUGUCAGAGAACGAGGGGUUAUAAAAGUCUUUAGGGUUUUGAUAGCCGCUCAAAACACUGUGCAUUUAUUUAACCCUUGUGCUGAAAAUCCUUCACCUAAUGUCAAAACUGACCUGCCUUUAAAAAAGCUGCUCUUAAAUGUCUCGUUAUUCUUUAUUAUUACCAAAUAUUGGAUUCAAUCUUUUUAUCAGCUUGUUUUCUUUGAGUUAGCAAGGUAAUUUUCUUUUUGGAACUGAAUGAUUGUAGGUCUCACUGAUCUGAGCUCAUGCACCUCAGUUUUGAGUGACAUAAGCGGCAUUUUUGGAUAAUAAACUCUGAUCACUGCCAAAAACAAAACCUGUGCUAAUUUAAAGAAAACAAGGUAUUUAAAAUAAAUUUGUAAUAAUAUGGUAUUAAAAUUUUCU